Molecule: ribosomal RNA, 506 nt
Filed under: Chrysolina oirota
Lineage: Eukaryota; Metazoa; Arthropoda; Insecta; Coleoptera; Chrysomelidae
Description: partial 16S ribosomal RNA
Rfam family: Bacterial large subunit ribosomal RNA
Source: RNAcentral
GUCCUUUUGUUAAUAAUUUAAGGUCUAACCUGCCCACUGAAAAUUUAAAUGGCCGUGGUAUUUUGACCGUGCUAAGGUAGCAUAAUCAUUAGUUUUUUAAUUGAAAACUGGAAUGAAAGGUUGAAUAAAAAAAUGACUGUCUCUAUUAAAUUUCAUUAGAACUUUAUUUUUAAGUUAAAAAGCUUAAUUAAAAUUAAAAGACGAGAAGACCCUAUAGAGUUUAAUUAUUAAUUAAAAAUUAUAUUUUGGAAUUAAUUUAUAUAUUUUAUUUAACAAUUUAAUUGGGGUGAUUGAAAAAUUUAAUAAACUUUUUUUAUUUUUAAACAUAAAUCUAUGAGUAAGUGAUCCAAUAUUUUUGAUUAUAAGAUAAAAUUACCUUAGGGAUAACAGCGUAAUUUUUUUAUAAAGUUCAUAUUAAAAAAAAAGAUUGCGACCUCGAUGUUGGAUUAAAAUUAAUUUUUGGUGUAGAAGCUAAAAUAUUGGGUCUGUUCGACCUUUAAAAUUUU